RNAcentral lists this ribosomal RNA (497 nucleotides) under uncultured bacterium. Its description in RNAcentral is "partial 16S ribosomal RNA". It matches the Rfam family "Bacterial small subunit ribosomal RNA", at positions 28 to 507 of the family's 1533-position model. The record is from RNAcentral.
GAUGAACGCUGGCGGCGUGCCUAAUACAUGCAAGUCGAGCGAACAGACGAGGAGCUUGCUCCUCUGACGUUAGCGGCGGACGGGUGAGUAACACGUGGAUAACCUACCUAUAAGACUGGGAUAACUUCGGGAAACCGGAGCUAAUACCGGAUAAUAUAUUGAACCGCAUGGUUCAAUAGUGAAAGACGGUUUUGCUGUCACUUAUAGAUGGAUCCGCGCCGCAUUAGCUAGUUGGUAAGGUAACGGCUUACCAAGGCAACGAUGCGUAGCCGACCUGAGAGGGUGACCGGCCACACUGGAACUGGGAAACGGUCCAGACUCCUAAGGGAGGCAGCAGUAGGGAAUAUUCCGCAAGGGGCGAAAGCUUGACGGAGCAACGUCGCGUGAGUGAUGAAGGUCUUGGGAUCGGAAAACUCUGUUAUUAGGGAAGAAAAAAUGUGGAAGUAACUAUGCACGUCUUGAAGGUACCUAAUCAGAAAGACACGGCUAACUACGUG